AGGACGAACGCUGGCGGCGUGCUUAACACAUGCAAGUCGAGCGGUAAGGCCUUUCGGGGUACACGAGCGGCGAACGGGUGAGUAACACGUGGGUGAUCUGCCCUGCACUUCGGGAUAAGCCUGGGAAACUGGGUCUAAUACCGGAUAUGACCUCCUAUCGCAUGGUGGGUGGUGGAAAGAUUUAUCGGUGCAGGAUGGGCCCGCGGCCUAUCAGCUUGUUGGUGGGGUAAUGGCCUACCAAGGCGACGACGGGUAGCCGACCUGAGAGGGUGACCGGCCACACUGGGACUGAGACACGGCCCAGACUCCUACGGGAGGCAGCAGUGGGAAUAUUGCACAAUGGGCGAAAGCCUGAUGCAGCGACGCCGCGUGAGGAUGACGGCCUUCGGGUUGUAAACCUCUUUCAGCAGGACGAAGCGCAAGUGACGUACCUGCAGAAGAAGCACCGGCUAACGUACGUGCCGAGCAGCCGC
This 473-nucleotide ribosomal RNA is filed under the name uncultured soil bacterium. RNAcentral describes it as "bacterial SSU rRNA". It matches the Rfam family "Bacterial small subunit ribosomal RNA", at positions 26 to 518 of the family's 1533-position model. The record is from RNAcentral.